Molecule: ribosomal RNA, 500 nt
Filed under: uncultured bacterium
Lineage: Bacteria
Description: partial 16S ribosomal RNA
Rfam family: Bacterial small subunit ribosomal RNA
Source: RNAcentral
AUUGAACGCUGGCGGCAUGCCUUACACAUGCAAGUCGAACGGCAGCACGGGAGCAAUCCUGGUGGCGAGUGGCGAACGGGUGAGUAAAGUAUCGGAACGUGCCCAGUCGUGGGGGAUAACGUAGCGAAAGUUACGCUAAUACCGCAUACGAUCUAUGGAUGAAAGCGGGGGAUCGCAAGACCUUGCGCGCUUGGAGCGGCCGAUAUCAGAUUAGGUAGUUGGUGGGGUAAAGGCUCACCAAGCCGACGAUUUGUAGCUGGUCUGAGAGGACGACCAGCCACACUGGGACUGAGACACGGCCCAGACUCCUACGGGAGGCAGCAGUGGGGAAUUUUGGACAAUGGGCGAAAGCCUGAUCCAGCCAUGCCGCGUGCAGGAUGAAGGCCUUCGGGUUGUAAACUGCUUUUGUACGGAACGAAAAGGUUUGGCCUAAUAAGCUGAGCUCAUGACGGUACCGUAAGAAUAAGCACCGGCUAACUACGUGCCAGCCGCCGCGGUAA